Molecule: ribosomal RNA, 324 nt
Filed under: uncultured eukaryote
Lineage: Eukaryota
Description: partial 18S ribosomal RNA
Rfam family: Eukaryotic small subunit ribosomal RNA
Source: RNAcentral
CCCUUAGAUGUUCUGGGCUGCACGCGCGCUACACUGAUGCGAUCAACAAGUUUUUCCUAUGUCGAUAGACACGGGUAAUCUUUCGAACUCGCAUCGUGAUGGGGAUAGAUUAUUGUAAUUAUUAAUCUUCAACGAGGAAUUCCUAGUAGGUGCAAAUCAUCAGUUUGCAUCGAUUACGUCCCUGCCCUUUGUACACACCGCCCGUCGCUGCUACCGAUUGGUUGAUCUGGUGAAUUAUUCGGACUGCCGGCUGAAGGGGUUUCCUCAUCUGCCAGCGGAAAGUCUUGUUAACCCUAUCAACUAGAGGAAGCAGAAGUCGUAACA